UACGUAGGGUGCAAGCGUUGUCCGGAAUUAUUGGGCGUAAAGAGCUCGUAGGCGGUUUGUCGCGUCGAAUGUGAAAACCCGGGGCUCAACCCCGGGCCUGCAUUCGAUACGGGCAGACUAGAGUUCGGUAGGGGAGUCUGGAAUUCCUGGUGUAGCGGUGAAAUGCGCAGAUAUCAGGAGGAACACCAAUAGCGAAGGCAGCUCGCUGGGACGGUACUGACGCUAAGGCGCGAAAGCGUGGGGAGCGAACAGG
RNAcentral lists this ribosomal RNA (253 nucleotides) under uncultured bacterium. Its description in RNAcentral is "partial 16S ribosomal RNA". It matches the Rfam family "Bacterial small subunit ribosomal RNA", at positions 524 to 776 of the family's 1533-position model. The record is from RNAcentral.